CUCCUCCGUACAUCUAUAGAAAUUUGCAGGAGUCUCAUGUGACAGUCUGAAUGAUGGAAAACAAAGAGGUAAAAGGGCAGAUGUUGAACCUCUGGGCUCCUGGGUGGAGAGGGAAGAAAUAAAGGGCAGGGAUGUUACCUUGGACCUGACUUUGAUGUGAGCUGAAUGCCUACUGAGAUGCAGAGUGAAGAGAUUCCAGAAGGGUAAACACAGCAUAGCCAACGAGACUGGUUUUAAUGAAUGACUUAGAGGCAUAGUGAAGGAAUGUCAGAGUGCAAACCUCAGAUCGAUAAUAAUGAUGCUGUGAAGGUUUUGAAUACAGGAACAGAGUGGAAGAUCUUGUUGUGCAGAGCAGGCUUGGAGCUCCAGAAGAUUACAAGUACACAGAAGCACAAAACAAUGAAGGGAAUUAGCAUGUGGAUGAAAACAUUAAACUCAGAUAUUGAGGCCUGUGAGAGGCAUGUAGAUCCCAGCGGUGAGCAGGAGCUCGUGUGAGUCAAGCUUGUUGGACAAGUUAAGAUUUGCGAAUGGAUUAUGCCGGAGAGCUGGUCAGCAGAACAGUGGAAGUCAAUUAAUAGAACACAAAACACACAAAGAAGCUGUGCUGAAAACAAGAGAUGGGAAACAAAAGUGUUUUUGGGCAGGGGUUUCCAACCAGUUCCUGAUGAAGGACUCCAGUCUGAAAUGUCAACUGUUUACUCUUUUCCAUAGAUGCUACCUGACCUGCUGAGUUCCUCCAGCAUUUUCUUCAGACCAACAAAUGUAACCAACUAUGUCAUUGAUAAUAAAUCUGAUUCUGAUUCUGUCAUCUUUGGCACGUGGAAGGAAACUAGAGGAACCAAAGGAAAUCCAGAUGAUCAUAGAGAGAACAUGCAAACUCCACACAGACAGGGACCAAACCUGCUUCUCUGGAACUGGAAGACAGCAGCUCUACCACAUGCUGCGCUUCCCCCCGCCUCGAAAGUGACAGCUUCACAUUGAACACAGGAAGAAGCAAGACUUCCAUUCAGACUAGUUUAAUGUCCUGUAUAGCAGGGCACAAAUAAAACUCCUUGCUUGCAUGAAGCUCACAGGGUGAACAAUGGUAACAACAAAUACAACUAUAUCUACAAUGGUGACUGCAAAAUAUCAGAAUGAUGCGAAGUGCAGUUGUACUUAUAUCCAUUUGCAAGAUUUGCUUGUUUUUUGCAUUGGGGGAGAGGGGUAAUGUUCUUGUUGCCAUUGACACGUGGGGGUGUUGAUCUUUAUCUUUGAAUGGCUUCCAUGGUGUGGCUGUCUGGAGAAGAUGCACUGUACAAAGGAGUUGCAUACUGCAUACACACUUUGGUAGUGAAUGUACCUCUGAACCUUUGAGUAACGCAAGGAGAAAAUUUAUAACGAUAAUAUCGGAAGAGGUAGAAUUAGGGGUUCAAAGAUAUGUGAGAGAGGUGAUUGAUAGCCAUGGGGAAGAAGCUGAACAUCUGAGCUCUCAAGCUCCUGUAUCUUCUCCCAGAAGGUAUAAGACAGAAAAGGGGGAUGGGCUGGAUGACAGGCACCCUCGAUGAUACAAAUUAGCCUCUCAGAGUCGACGCAUGUUGAAGAAGGACUGGAUUGGAGGAAGUGAUGAGCAUUACAAUAAAUCUAGGCAGCAUGGAGUAAAUGAGGUGCUUGAGGAAUAUAAAGAAUGUAAGAAGAAUCUUAAGAAAGAAAUUAGAAAAGCUAAAAGAAGAUACUAGGUUGCUUUGGCAAGUAAGGUGAGAAUAAAUCUGAAGGGUUUCUACGGUUAUAUUAAUAGCAAAAGGAUAGUGAGGGAUAAAAGUGGUCCCUUAGAGAAUCAGAGUGGACAGCUAUGUGUGGAGCCAAAAGAGGUGGGGGAGGUUUUGAACAAUUUCUUUUCUUCGAUAUUCACUAAGAAGAAGGAUAUUGAAUUGUGUAUGGUAAGGGAAACGAGUAGGGAAGUUAUGGAAACUAUGACAAUUAAAGAGGAGGAAGUACUGAUGCUUUUAAGGAAUUUAAAAGAAGAUAAAUCUCUGGAUCCUGACAGGAUAUUCCCCAGGACCUUGAGGGAGGUUAGUGUAAAAAUAGCAGGUGCUCUGACAGAAAUAUUUCAAAUGUCAUUAGAAAUGGGGAUGGUGCCAGAGGAUUGGUGUAUUGCUCAUGUGGUUCCAUUGUUUAAAAAGGGUUCUAAGAGUAAACCUAGCAAUUAUAGGCCUGUCAGUUUGACGUCAGUGGUGGAUAAAUUAAUGGAAAGUAUUCUUAGAGAUGGUAUAUAUAAUUAUCUGGAUAGACAGGGUCUGAUUAGGAACAGUUAACAUGGAUUUGUGCGUGAAAGGUCAUGUUUGACAAAUCUUAUUGAAUUUUUUGAAGAGGUUACUAGGAAAGUCGACGAGGGUAAAGCAGUGGAUGUUGUCUAUAUGGACUUCAGUAAGGCCUUUGAUAAGGUUCUGCACGGAAGAUUAGUUAGGAAGGUUCAAUCGUUAGGUAUUAAUAUUGAAGUAGCAAAAUGGAUUCAGCAGUGGCUGGAUGGGAGAUGCCAGAGAGUAGUGGUGGAUAACUGUUUGUCAGGUUGGAGGCCAGUGACUAGUGAUGUGCCUCAGGGAUCUGUACUGGGUCCAAUGUUGUUUGUCAUAUACAUUAAUGAUCUGGAUGAUGGGGUGGUAAAUUGGAUUAGUAAGUAUGCAGAUGAUACUAAUGUAGGUGGUUUUGUGGAGAAUGAAGUAGGUUUUUAAAGUUUGCAGAGAGAUUUAAGCCAGUUAGAAGAGUGGGCUGAACGAUGAUAGAUGGAGUUUAAUGCUGAUAAGUGUGAGGUGCUACAUUUUGGUAGGAAUAAUCCAAAUAGGACAUACAUGGUAAAUGGUAGGGCAUUGAAGAAUGCAGUAGAACAGAGUGAUUUAGGAAUAAUGGUGCAUAGUUCCCUGAAGGUGGAAUCUCAUGUGGAUAGGGUGGUGAAGAAAGCUUUUGGUAUGUUGGCCUUUAUAAAUCAGAGCAUUGAGUAUGGGAGUUGGGAUGUAAUGUUAAAAUUGUACAAGGCAUUGGUAAGGCUGAAUUUGGAGUAUUGUGUACAGUUCUGGUCACCAAAUUAUAGGAAAGAUGUCAACAAAAUAGAGAGAGUACAGAGAAGAUUUACUAGAAUGUUACCUGCAUUUCAGCACCUAAGUUACAAGGAAAGAUUGAACAAGUUAGGCCUUUAUUCUUUGAAGUGUAGAACGUUGAGGGGGGACUUGAUAGAGGUACUUAAAAUUAUGAGGGGGAUAGAUAGAGUUGACGUGGAUAGGCUUUUUCCAUUGAGAGUAGGGGAGAUUCAAACAAGAGGACAUGAGUUGAGAGUUAGGAGGCAAAAGUUUAAGGGUAACACGAGGGAGAAUUUCUUUACUCAGAGAAUGGUAGCUGUGUGGAAUGAGCUUCCAGUAGAAGUGGUAGAGGCAGGUUUGGUAUUGUCAUUUAAAGUAAAAUUGGAUAGGUAUAUGGACAGGCAAGGAAUGGAGGGUUAUGGGCUGAGUGCAGGUUAGUGGGACUAGGUGAGAUUAAGUGUUCGGCACGGACUAGAAGUGCCGAGAUGUCCUGUUUCCGUGCUGUAAUUGUUGUAUAGUUAUAUAGGGUCAAAGAUCAUCACAGAAAUGAAGGCUAUAUUUGAGACAUCAGGAUACAGAAAACUGGAACAAGGAAGAUCAAACCACAACACAAGAGGAAAAGGAGAAACAAAUGAGAAGUUGGUCAUAGUCCGAGCAAAUUAAGUUGCAGCGAUCAGUAUAAGAUUAAAGUAUCAGGAUGAAUAAUAUUAGAUUCCCCAGGUUUGCUCAAAGAUAAUAAGGAAUGUGAUCAUGCAGAA
This is a long non-coding RNA of Hypanus sabinus (Atlantic stingray), 3808 nucleotides long. RefSeq lists it as uncharacterized. The transcript is spliced from 3 exons. The record is from RefSeq and is a predicted model, not a curated record. Lineage: Eukaryota; Metazoa; Chordata; Chondrichthyes; Myliobatiformes; Dasyatidae.